Molecule: unclassified non-coding RNA, 237 nt
Filed under: plant metagenome
Description: partial contains small subunit ribosomal RNA, internal transcribed spacer 1, and 5.8S ribosomal RNA
Rfam family: 5.8S ribosomal RNA (bases 189-237)
Source: RNAcentral
UUUCCGUAGGUGAACCUGCGGAAGGAUCAUCAGUGAUAAAACAUUGAAGGUUAUACAACCACCCUAUGUGAACUUUAUAAUUGUAGCGGGGGGGUCUUUCGGGGGCCUUCCGCUACAUUUAUUUUUUUUUAUAUUAAACAACUUUUUCAUCACCUGUAAACUAUACCAACCAAAAACAAAAAAGACACAACUUUUAACAACGGAUCUCUUGGCUCUCGUAUCGAUGAAGAACGCAGC